GUGCCAGCAGCCGCGGUAAUUCCAGCUCCAAUAGCGUAUAUUAAAGUUGUUGUGGUUAAAAGGCUCGUAGUUGAACCUUGGGCCUGGCUGGCCGGUCCGCCUCACCGCGUGCACUGGUCCGGCCGGGCCUUUCCCUCUGUGGAACCCCAUACCCUUCACUGGGCGUGGCGGGGAAACAGGACAUUUACUUUGAAAAAAUUAGAGUGCUCCAGGCAGGCCUAUGCUCGAAUACAUUAGCAUGGAAUAAUAAAAUAGGACGCGCGGUUCUAUUUUGUUGGUUUAUAGGACCGCCGUAAUGAUUAAUAGGGACAGUCGGGGGCAUCAGUACUCAACUGUCAGAGGUGAAAUUCUUGGAUCAGUUGAAGACUAACUACUGCGAAAGCAUUUGCCAAGGAUGUUUUCAUUAAUCAGGAACGGAAGUUAGGGGAUCGAAGACGAUCAGAUACCGUCGUAGUCUUAACCAUAAACUAUGCCGACUAGGGAUCGGACGGUGUUAUUCAUGACCCGUUCGGCACCUUACGAGAAAUCAAAGUGCUUGGGCUCCAGGGGGAGUAUGGUCGCAAGGCUGAAAACUUAAAGAAAUUGACGGGAGGGGCACCACCAGGGGUGGGAGCCCUGCGGCUUUAAUUUUGACUCAACACGGGGAAACUCACCAGGGCCCAGACACAAUAAGGAUUGACAGAUUGAGAGCUCUUUCUUGAUUUUGUGGGGUGGUGGUGCAUGGGCCGUUCUUAGUUGGGUGGGUGUGACUUUGUCUGCUUAAUUUGCGAUAAACAGACGAGAACUUUAACCUGGCUAGAUAGGCCGCGCAUUGCUCCGGGCAGGGCGCGCUGGCGUUUCUGAAGAGGGAUUUCCGGCUCCAAAG
This 865-nucleotide ribosomal RNA is filed under the name uncultured fungus. Its description in RNAcentral is "SSU rRNA". It matches the Rfam family "Eukaryotic small subunit ribosomal RNA", at positions 564 to 1433 of the family's 1831-position model. Lineage: Eukaryota; Fungi. The record is from RNAcentral.